AGCCAAAGUUCGCAAGACGCUUCCUGAUGAGCUCGCGGCCUAUCAGCUAGUUGGUGAGGUAACGGCUCACCAAGGCGAUGACGGGUAGCUGGUCUGAGAGGACGACCAGCCACACUGGAACUGAGACACGGUCCAGACACCUACGGGUGGCAGCAGUCGAGUAAUUUUUCACAAGUCGGGGAAACCCUGAUGGAGCGACGCCGCGUGGAGGACGAAGGUCUUCGGAUUGUAAACUCCUGUCAUGCGGGAACAAGAAAGUGAUAGUACCGCAAGAGGAAGAGACGGCUAACUCUGUG
RNAcentral lists this ribosomal RNA (296 nucleotides) under uncultured bacterium. Its description in RNAcentral is "partial 16S ribosomal RNA". It matches the Rfam family "Bacterial small subunit ribosomal RNA", at positions 199 to 507 of the family's 1533-position model. The record is from RNAcentral.